AAAGUGACGGUACCUGCAGAAAAAAGCGCCGGCUAACUACGUGCCAGCAGCCGCGGUAAUACGUAGGGCGCAAGCGUUAUCCGGAAUUAUUGGGCGUAAAGAGCUCGUAGGCGGUUUGUCGCGUCUGCUGUGAAAUCCCGAGGCUCAACCUCGGGCUGCAGUGGGUACGGGCAGACUAGAGUGCGGUAGGGGAGAUUGGAAUUCCUGGUGUAGCGGUGGAAUGCGCAGAUAUCAGGAGGAACACCGAUGGCGAAGGCAGAUCUCUGGGCCGUAACUGACGCUGAGGAGCGAAAGGGUGGGGAGCAAACAGGCUUAGAUACCCUGGUAGUCCACCCCGUAAACGUUGGGAACUAGUUGUGGGGACCAUUCCACGGUUUCCGUGACGCAGCUAACGCAUUAAGUUCCCCGCCUGGGGAGUACGGCCGCAAGGCUAAAACUCAAAGGAAUUGACGGGGACCCGCACAAGCGGCGGAGCAUGCGGAUUAAUUCGAUGCAACGCGAAGAACCUUACCAAGGCUUGACAUAUACGAGAACGGGCCAGAAAUGGUCAACUCUUUGGACACUCGUAAACAGGUGGUGCAUGGUUGUCGUCAGCUCGUGUCGUGAGAUGUUGGGUUAAGUCCCGCAACGAGCGCAACCCUCGUUCUAUGUUGCCAGCACGUAAUGGUGGGAACUCAUGGGAUACUGCCGGGGUCAACUCGGAGGAAGGUGGGGAUGACGUCAAAUCAUCAUGCCCCUUAUGUCUUGGGCUUCACGCAUGCUACAAUGGCCGGUACAAAGGGCUGCAAUACCGUAAGGUGGAGCGAAUCCCAAAAAGCCGGUCCCAGUUCGGAUUGAGGUCUGCAACUCGACCUCAUGAAGUCGGAGUCGCUAGUAAUCGCAGAUCAGCAACGCUGCGGUGAAUACGUUCCCGGGUCUUGUACACACCGCCCGUCAAGUCAUGAAAGUCGGUAACACCUGAAGCCGGC
RNAcentral lists this ribosomal RNA (968 nucleotides) under Microbacterium sp. Its description in RNAcentral is "bacterial SSU rRNA". It matches the Rfam family "Bacterial small subunit ribosomal RNA", at positions 466 to 1431 of the family's 1533-position model. The record is from RNAcentral. Lineage: Bacteria; Bacillati; Actinomycetota; Actinomycetes; Micrococcales; Microbacteriaceae.